Molecule: ribosomal RNA, 433 nt
Filed under: uncultured bacterium
Lineage: Bacteria
Description: partial 16S ribosomal RNA
Rfam family: Bacterial small subunit ribosomal RNA
Source: RNAcentral
AGCGAACGCUGGCGGCAGGCUUAACACAUGCAAGUCGAGCGGGCACUUCGGUGUCAGCGGCAGACGGGUGAGUAACACGUGGGAACGUACCCUUCGGUUCGGAAUAACGCUGGGAAACUAGCGCUAAUACCGGAUACGCCCUUUUGGGGAAAGGUUUACUGCCGAAGGAUCGGCCCGCGUCUGAUUAGCUAGUUGGUGGGGUAAUGGCCUACCAAGGCGAGGAUCAGUAGCUGGUCUGAGAGGAUGAUCAGCCACACUGGAACUGAGACACGGCCCAGACUCCUACGGGAGGCAGCAGUGGAGAAUAUUGUACAAUGGGCGCAAGCCUGACCCAGCCGUGCCGCGCGAGUGGUGAAGGCCUUAGGGUUGUAAAGCUCUUUUGUCCGAGACGAUAAUGACGGUACCGGAAGAAUAAGCCCCGGCUAACUUCGUG